UGGCACAAGUAAAUGGGACGGUGCGGGUUCACGGGAUAAGCAGGACGACCAUCCGAAGAUGAUAAAAAGCAAGACCUGCAUAGUGAAAACAAGGCGAUUAGGCGUGGUGCCACAAGCGCUGUUGCCAUGUCCACUGAAGUGUAGGUCGAUGGGUCGGCAGCUUAAAUCAGCCUCUCCUGGUGAUGGCUGUGUCGAUGUGGCUGGGAGGCCGAAGGAAACGUCGAGCGAAUAGGUCGGUAUCGCGGCUGGCGUAUCGCUGAAAUAGGCUUCGUUCAUGCCUGAGGCUGGCACAAGUAAAUGGGACGGUGCGGGUUCACGGGAUAAGCAGGACGACCAUCCGAAGAUGAUAAAAAGCAAGACCUGCAUAGUGAAAACAAGGCGAUUAGGCGUGGUGCCACAAGCGCUGUUGCCAUGUCCACUGAAGUGUAGGUCGAUGGGUCGGCAGCUUAAAUCAGCCUCUCCUGGUGAUGGCUGUGUCGAUGUGGCUGGGAGGCCGAAGGAAACGUCGAGCGAAUAGGUCGGUAUCGCGGCUGGCGUAUCGCUGAAAUAGGCUUCGUUCAUGCCUGAGGCUGGCACAAGUAAAUGGGACGGUGCGGGUUCACGGGAUAAGCAGGACGACCAUCCGAAGAUGAUAAAAAGCAAGACCUGCAUAGUGAAAACAAGGCGAUUAGGCGUGGUGCCACAAGCGC
Molecule: long non-coding RNA, 689 nt
Filed under: Dermacentor andersoni
Lineage: Eukaryota; Metazoa; Arthropoda; Arachnida; Ixodida; Ixodidae
Description: uncharacterized LOC126535604
Source: RNAcentral